Molecule: ribosomal RNA, 253 nt
Filed under: uncultured bacterium
Lineage: Bacteria
Description: partial 16S ribosomal RNA
Rfam family: Bacterial small subunit ribosomal RNA
Source: RNAcentral
GACAGAGGGGGCAGGCGUUGCUCGGAAUUACUGGGCGUAAAGGGCGCGUAGGCGGGAUGGCAAGUCGGUCGUGAAAGCCUUCGGCUCAACCGAAGAACGUCGGCCGAUACUGCCGUUCUUGAGGGAUGCAGAGGAGACUGGAAUUCCCGAUGUAGCGGUGAAAUGUGUAGAGAUCGGGAGGAACACCGGUGGCGAAGGCGGGUCUCUGGGCAUCUCCUGACGCUGAGGCGCGAAAGCGUGGGGAGCAAACGGG